This 453-nucleotide ribosomal RNA is filed under the name Triticum aestivum (bread wheat). RNAcentral's name for it is "partial small subunit ribosomal RNA". Lineage: Eukaryota; Viridiplantae; Streptophyta; Magnoliopsida; Poales; Poaceae. The record is from RNAcentral.
AUGUUUUUUUCUGAUGCGGCUUUAUUUCAUGACUUCAACAAGUCUGGGGCUGGUGUAGUAGCUCUGGACCAUAUGGGUCAAUGCAUCAAGGCAUGUACCGAAGUGUUGUCUGGUUCUCUCACACCCGAGAUGGCCGAAGCUUUGGCUCUUCGCAGAGCAGUUGACAUGGCGCGAGAGGACCACCUUUUCCAUGUGAUCUUUGCCACUGAUUGCCUCUCUUUGGUGCAAAGGCUGAAAUCCAAAGCCCAUGAUCGUUCUGUUGUUGGUUCCGUCAUUGAUGAUAUCAAGAUGGCAACUCUAGGCUUCUCCUCGGUUUCGUUUUUGCAUGUUCGUCGGCAAUGUAAUGUGUUGGCUCAUGUUUUAGCUAGGUCUUGUUUUAACUCUUCUGGUCUUUGUGUUUUCAAUUCUGCUCCGGAGUGUAUCCAGGAGGCUUUGUAUGACUUUGUUUUUUAG